RNAcentral lists this long non-coding RNA (402 nucleotides) under Numida meleagris (helmeted guineafowl). RNAcentral describes it as "lncRNA (ENSNMEG00000010860.1)". Lineage: Eukaryota; Metazoa; Chordata; Aves; Galliformes; Numididae. The record is from RNAcentral.
CUUCCUCAGCCAUGAAGGACCUGAAGCAUACUCUAGUUGAUCAGUUUGUGGAGAAUUAACUUCUGGAACAGACUCAAUGAUUCUUCUUGAUGAGAAUAGCAAGAAAGGGAAGUGUGAUGGGUAUUUCAGCUAUCUUCUGGAGAUCAGAUCAAGCACACACCUCGUAAAAUAAGUCUUUUCAUUUUAUAAGUAAAGAAGUCUGCAAGAAGCAGUUACCUUUGACAGAGAUUUUAUGGUAGGUAAAAUUAAAGUGGUAUCUCUUAUUUAAUUAUUCUUUCAAAAUCUGUCUGUGUACAAAUGAAGAUGUCUUAGUGCAAUGAAAAUAAUAAUAUAGAUUAUUCAGGGAAUACAUGCUGACCCAAUCAUCCUUGGUGGAGCCCUCAAACAAGUAAAACCCCUGUU